UGAGGUGUAUGACUCUUCCCUUAGACAUUCUUAUUCUUCUAAUAAAUUAUAGUGCUUUGUUAACUUCGGACCCCUGACAUAUCUAUUACAUUUCAUAAAUGAAAGCUCAGGGUUUUUAUAUGCAAUACUAAGAUUUUUGCAUCUCUCAGAUCAAAAUCGCUAUUGCUGCUACUCGAUGUACUUAUUCCUGUCUAUAAUUUAUUUGGGUUAUUUCACAAAAACAAAUUUUAACAGUAGGAUUCUCAAUACAAAUUGUUUUAUUCCAGCUCGGAAUUACAAGCUAUUGAUUACACCCUACUUAGAACAGUGGAGAAAACGUUCCCAUAAUAUAUUUGAUAUAGUAAUAUCGCACUUCGUAACCCAUCUCUCUAAAGUUCGGAUGCAUACUAAUAUCACAGAAUAUUAUUUGUCAAAAACAUUUUCUUUUGUCUAUUUAAAAUCUACUAGCAUUCUAUGGCUGUGUGCGUCGAUGUUACUGCACAGAGUUACUAACCUAAUAUCACAGUUUAACACGGCCAUGUUUGAGUCGCCAUUUUUGACAGUGGUAUCAGGUACAAUAAAGCUUUAUUUUAGAAUAUUGGGCGCCAUCUCUGUUAUGUGUGCAUAUGCUCGGCAUACGAUUAGGCCAUCCGACUGUCACAGAGACUCCCAGGGCUAGGGAUCUCAACCCGCCAAUCGAAUCCAACACACUAACAUUGAAAGGGGACUUUACUACAAUUGCUCUACUCUACGAUAUACAAAAUAGGAGUCAUCAUACAGGGAUCUCGGUGGAUCGAUCCCACACUCGCCCACCCUACCUGGAUCCAGUAUUUCCAUUUCUUGCGUUUCUCUGAAUCCCCUUGAGCCACACGCUUCGAAUCACACACUUACUUCAUACCACCUUCCCCCCAAGCUAUACAAACUUAGCAACACAUAUUAGUAUCUACUGUUUACAAAAGAAUCAUUUUUAAUUUUAUUAAAAAAAAUAAGUUAGCUUUAAAUAUUUUCUUAAUUUUUUUCUCUACUAUUUUUUUUCUUACACUAAAAUUGACAAACUGUAUGGUAUAAAAAAAAACAAAUUAAGAAUAAUACCGGGCUUUCUUAAAUCUAUGGCUUUAAUUACUCGGUAGAAACCAAUAUAUUAUCCUUUGCCUUGCUUUUCCCGCGCAAUAUUCACGCGUCUAUACGAAAUUACUAGCCACCUAAAAGAGCUCUCUUAACCGGCCUAAUUGCCGCUAAAAUUCCACGGCCUAAACUAUCAGAUCGAAUCACAAGGACUCAAGAUAAUUUUACUGUAACACCUCCUAGCCUUUGAAAAUAAACGCGGUAUUUUUCCCUUACAAACUGAUUAUUACUUAAAUCCUAAGAACUAUAACCUAUCUUAUUACUAAAUCUUUAUACUGAAUAUUAUAUUUUUUUUCUCGAAAUUUAUGAUUAUUAACUCUUUUUUUCUUUUCUUUUAGUUCCCAAAAAGGAGACAGCAAAUUUUAUGGACGUCACAUAUAUAUAUAAAUAUAUCUAUCAAGGACAACACAACGUUUACGCUUCUUUCCGGAGGAAACAGAUUUUGAACGCCAGGCAAACCCUGAAAUGAAGCUGGACUUGUUGACUGGUCCUUUUACAAUGCCGGCGUUCUGGGCGGGAUCAAUAACAGGCACAGCAAAAAGCUCAAAGUUGCAGCUGGCCAGUUUACAAUUCAAAUCUCCACACCCUCAAUGUAACUUUUUUUGGCUUUUUUCUCCUGUGGACAACUUGCCACUACCUUGCGUUACCAAAAAGAAAAGGCAAUUUCCCGCCGUUGUGCUGACCAAAACCGGACAAUUUUCGGUGCUUCCAAAAAAGCUUGAUACACCACCGGAAUAUUCCUGUUGGAGCAACACACAUCACAUAUAACAACACAUUACUCAACAAACCACUGUUACAAACUACUUACACAAUAAAAAAAUCGCAACACACAAAUUAAA
Molecule: long non-coding RNA, 1943 nt
Organism: Musca domestica (house fly)
Lineage: Eukaryota; Metazoa; Arthropoda; Insecta; Diptera; Muscidae
Exons: 2
Source: RefSeq, a predicted model, not a curated record